RNAcentral lists this long non-coding RNA (610 nucleotides) under Homo sapiens (human). RNAcentral's name for it is "HSALNT0369691". The record is from RNAcentral. Lineage: Eukaryota; Metazoa; Chordata; Mammalia; Primates; Hominidae.
GGAAACAAGCCACCAUUAAUUUAAUAUUAUAUUUUUCCAGCCUGUCCUAUUGAGGAUUUGCCUAGCUAACCACCAUGAUAAGCCAAUUACUUGAAAUAAACACAGACACACACUCACUCACACACACUAUAUAUGCACAUGUGUGUUUGCAAUUAGAUUUUGUGUCUAAAAUUGAAAUACAUUUAUUUUCUUUUUGGUGAGAAAUAAUUGUACAAUAUAAUUGUUUGUGUGUGUGUGUGUAUGUGUGUGUGUGUGUGUGUGUCACACUGCUUCUGUUUCUCUGGUGGAACCCUAACCGAUAGGGAGCACAUAUGGUAUACAUUGUCCAGCUCUUCUUCAAAGACACUUUUGCUGCUCUUCCUGAAGUCUGUAGCCUCUCCUUCUCAUCAUUAUCUAGCACAGCAUCCUGUUUAUUUUCUUCCUAAAAGUCAUGAUAAUCUGCAAAUUAAAAAAAAAUUAACUACUUACUGUCUUUCUACAUAACUGAAAUAAAAUUUUCUGAGAUAAAGCACCCUCUCUCCUUCACUGAAAUAUCCUCAGGAUGUAACACAGUGCACGGAUCAUAGUAGGCACUCAGUUUGUUGAAUGAGUGCAACAUAGAAGGCUUCUU